CAGUCGCCGCGGUAAUACAGAGGAUGCAAGCGUUAUCCGGAAUGAUUGGGCGUAAAGCGUCUGUAGGUGGCUUUUCAAGUCCGCCGUCAAAUCCCAGGGCUCAACCCUGGACAGGCGGUGGAAAUUACCAAGCUGGAGUACGGUAGGGGCAGAGGGAAUUUCCGGUGGAGCGGUGAAAUGCGUUGAGAUCGGAAAGAACACCAGCGGCGAAAGCACUCUGCUGGGCCGACACUGACACUGAGAGACGAAAGCUAGGGGAGCAAAUGGGAUUAGAUACCCCCGUAGUCCCUGUCCCUUAUAC
RNAcentral lists this ribosomal RNA (301 nucleotides) under uncultured bacterium. RNAcentral describes it as "partial 16S ribosomal RNA". It matches the Rfam family "Bacterial small subunit ribosomal RNA", at positions 509 to 807 of the family's 1533-position model. The record is from RNAcentral.